GGAAGGAAGGUUCGGCUUUGAGAAGCUAGAGAAAAAAAAUCGAGAGGUUUUUCCUCCCACCCACAUGCCAUUGUUGAAAUUUAAGGAGAGUUUGGUGGUUUGACUUAAAGAUUUCAAGAUAAAGAAGCAAAAGAAUACCGUGUGGAUGCCAAGGAAAGCAUGCAUGUUGGUGAUUCGCAAAGAAUGUGAAAUUAAACUACCAAGGAGCUUGAGAUUUCUUAGUUUUAGUUCAAGAUAAAUUAUUGAGGAAAGGCUUGUUCGGGACUUAGCGAUUUCCUCCGCGAGACUUGGAUGUCGGUAGCGAUUGAGGAGCGGUUGUUACAUUUAGUGGAUCAUCAAAGAUCUGAAAAAGGACUUGGUAAUAAAGACCUUAAGAGGGAUGAGUCUCAAGUCUAUCAACUAAAUCUCCAAUGGUGGGAGCUCACCUCGACGUUUGUGACGGACUUGCAAAUUUUGUGUAUUGACCAUUCUACCACAUGGGUGAUUGCAAACACUAAUUUAUAUUUUCCAUCCCAAGGUAUAUAAUGUUUGGUUUCCAUAAUAUGUAAGGAAAGGUUAAACAAAAGUUCUCAAUAGACCCAUAACAUGUAUAUGUUGAAGUACUAUAAUUACAGGAUACUUUCGAUGGGUGCUACUUAUGUGAGUGGAAGUGUGGUCGCUUCUAAGAGCUAAAGGCUUGACUUUGAUAGCACUUAUGAUUGGAUGCAAAAUACAAGGCCAUAAAACGUGUUGGCAAAACUAGAUACAAAGUGAGCAAGGAAACUUGUGUGUGUUUAGUGGGUUGACUAGUCAAAUGAAGAAUUGAUGGUUCAAUAUUUUGUCAACCA
This is a non-coding RNA of Theobroma cacao (cacao), 827 nucleotides long. NCBI's taxonomy places the organism in Eukaryota, Viridiplantae, Streptophyta, Magnoliopsida, Malvales, Malvaceae. The record is from RefSeq and is a predicted model, not a curated record.